GAUGAACGCUGGCGGCGUGCCUAAUACAUGCAAGUCGAGCGAACAGACGAGGAGCUUGCUCCUCAGACGUUAGCGGCGGACGGGUGAGUAGCACGUGGAUAACCUACCUAUAAGACUGGGAUAACUUCGGGAAACCGGAGCUAAUACCGGAUAAUAUAUUGAACCGCAUGGUUCAAUAGUGAAAGACGGUUUUGCUGUCACUUAUAGAUGGAUCCGCGCCGCAUUAGCUAGUUGGUAAGGUAACGGCUUACCAAGGCAACGAUGCGUAGCCGACCUGAGAGGGUGAUCGGCCACACUGGAACUGAGACACGGUCCAGACUCCUACGGGAGGCAGCAGUAGGGAAUCUUCCGCAAUGGGCGAAAGCCUGACGGAGCAACGCCGCGUGAGUGAUGAAGGUCUUCGGAUCGUAAAACUCUGUUAUUAGGGAAGAACAAAUGUGUAAGUAACUAUGCACGUCUUGACGGUACCUAAUCAGAAAGCCACGGCUAACUACGUG
RNAcentral lists this ribosomal RNA (497 nucleotides) under uncultured bacterium. RNAcentral describes it as "partial 16S ribosomal RNA". It matches the Rfam family "Bacterial small subunit ribosomal RNA", at positions 28 to 507 of the family's 1533-position model. The record is from RNAcentral.